Molecule: unclassified non-coding RNA, 335 nt
Filed under: soil metagenome
Description: partial contains 5.8S ribosomal RNA, internal transcribed spacer 2, and large subunit ribosomal RNA
Rfam family: 5.8S ribosomal RNA (bases 1-120)
Source: RNAcentral
GAUGAAGAACGCAGCGAAAUGCGAUAAGUAAUGUGAAUUGCAGAAUUCCGUGAAUCAUCGAAUCUUUGAACGCACAUUGCGCCCGCCAGUAUUCUGGCGGGUAUGCCUGUUCGAGCGUCAUUUCAACCAUCAAGCCCCCGGCUUGUGUUGGGGACCUGCGGCUGCCGCAGGCCCUGAAAUCCAGUGGCGGGCUCGCUAGUCACUCCGAGCGUAGUAAUACAUCUCGCUCAGGGCGUGCUGCGGGUUCCGGCCGUUAAAAAGCCUUAUUUACCCAAGGUUGACCUCGGAUCAGGUAGGAAGACCCGCUGAACUUAAGCAUAUCAAUAAGCGGAGGA